Molecule: ribosomal RNA, 981 nt
Filed under: Narasimhella hyalinospora
Lineage: Eukaryota; Fungi; Ascomycota; Eurotiomycetes; Onygenales; Gymnoascaceae
Description: SSU rRNA
Rfam family: Eukaryotic small subunit ribosomal RNA
Source: RNAcentral
AUGCAUGUCUAAGUAUAAGCAAUCUAUACGGUGAAACUGCGAAUGGCUCAUUAAAUCAGUUAUCGUUUAUUUGAUAGUACCUUACUACAUGGAUACCCGUGGUAAUUCUAGAGCUAAUACAUGCUAAAAACCUCGACUUCGGAAGGGGUGUAUUUAUUAGAUAAAAAACCAAUGCCCUUCGGGGCUCGUUGGUGAUUCAUAAUAACUUCUCGAAUCGCAUGGCCUUGCGCCGGCGAUGGUUCAUUCAAAUUUCUGCCCUAUCAACUUUCGAUGGUAGGAUAGUGGCCUACCAUGGUGGCAACGGGUAACGGGGAAUUAGGGUUCGAUUCCGGAGAGGGAGCCUGAGAAACGGCUACCACAUCCAAGGAAGGCAGCAGGCGCGCAAAUUACCCAAUCCCGAUACGGGGAGGUAGUGACAAUAAAUACUGAUACAGGGCUCGUUUGGGUCUUGUAAUUGGAAUGAGAACAAUUUAAAUCCCUUAACGAGGAACAAUUGGAGGGCAAGUCUGGUGCCAGCAGCCGCGGUAAUUCCAGCUCCAAUAGCGUAUAUUAAAGUUGUUGCAGUUAAAAAGCUCGUAGUUGAACCUUGGGUCUGGCUGGCCGGUCCGCCUCACGGCGUGCACUGGUCCGGCUGGAUCUUUCCUUCUGGGGAGCCCCAUGGCCUUCACUGGCUGUGGGGGGAACCAGGACUUUUACUGUGAAAAAAUUAGAGUGUUCAAAGCAGGCCUUUGCUCGGAUACAUUAGCAUGGAAUAAUAGAAUAGGACGUGCGGUUCUAUUUUGUUGGUUUCUAGGACCGCCGUAAUGAUUAAUAGGGAUGGUCGGGGGCGUCAGUAUUCGGCUGUCAGAGGUGAAAUUCUUGGAUUUGCCGAAGACUAACUACUGCGAAAGCAUUCGCCAAGGAUGUUUUCAUUAAUCAGGGAACGAAAGUUAGGGGAUCGAAGACGAUCAGAUACCGUCGUAGUCUUAACCAUAAACUAUG